RNAcentral lists this ribosomal RNA (464 nucleotides) under uncultured bacterium. RNAcentral describes it as "bacterial SSU rRNA". It matches the Rfam family "Bacterial small subunit ribosomal RNA", at positions 331 to 792 of the family's 1533-position model. The record is from RNAcentral.
CCAGACUCCUACGGGAGGCAGCAGUGAGGAAUAUUGGUCAAUGGGCGGGAGCCUGAACCAGCCAAGUCGCGUGAGGGAAGACGGUCCUACGGAUUGUAAACCUCUUUUGCCGGGGAGCAACGGGGUCCUUGCGAGGGCCCAAUGAGAGUACCCGGAGAAAAAGCAUCGGCUAACUCCGUGCCAGCAGCCGCGGUAAUACGGAGGAUGCGAGCGUUAUCCGGAUUUAUUGGGUUUAAAGGGUGCGCAGGCGGCGUGUCAAGUCAGCGGUAAAAUGUCGGGGCUCAACUCCGUACUGCCGUUGAAACUGCAUCCCUUGAGUGCGCGAGAAGUAUGCGGAAUGCGUGGUGUAGCGGUGAAAUGCAUAGAUAUCACGAAGAACUCCGAUUGCGAAGGCAGCUCACUGGACUGCAACUGACACUGAGGCUCGAAAGUGUGGGUAUCAAACAGGAUUAGAUACCCCGGUA